This 539-nucleotide long non-coding RNA is filed under the name Salvia miltiorrhiza (redroot sage). Its description in RNAcentral is "long non-coding RNA (SMIL_LNC001213)". The record is from RNAcentral. Lineage: Eukaryota; Viridiplantae; Streptophyta; Magnoliopsida; Lamiales; Lamiaceae.
AAAUGUGUUAUCAAUCACAGUUGGAAUACACAUUGAGAAGGGAUUGUAUGUCAGAAAACACAAAUACUACAGAGUUUAUUAACCACUAAAACACAACUAAUAAAUCAUUUUCAAUUAUAUACUGUUUUUCUUAGUCUCUUGUUUCAUGAUGCUAGCACUAAUGAUUGAUUAUUUCUCACAUCCUGAGCCAGCCUCUGAUAUUUCUACUUCUUGGUCUUGGGCUGUGAAUAUGCUUCACUUGGUGAAUCAAUUUCAGCAACACUGCUAGACCGUGCUUCAGUUUCAGCCUUUUCUUCUCCAUGAACUAAUGCCUGAAAAAGGUCAAAAUUGUCAAUAGCACGGAAGCAUAAUUAACAAUUAAUAAGAAAAAUAUGUACAGUUCUAGCUCCCAUGCUCUCAUUCACAUUCUUCAUUGUAUGCUCCUCAAGAGUAGCCACAUUCAUGUUCGAUUGUGAUGCAGUUGUGGCUGCGUGGGAGGCACCCAUGCCUUUAGGGCUGUCGAUCGAUUCGGGUUCGGUUACCCGAANCCCAAAUUGCCA